This 434-nucleotide ribosomal RNA is filed under the name uncultured Lachnospiraceae bacterium. RNAcentral's name for it is "partial 16S ribosomal RNA". It matches the Rfam family "Bacterial small subunit ribosomal RNA", at positions 341 to 792 of the family's 1533-position model. The record is from RNAcentral. Lineage: Bacteria; Bacillati; Bacillota; Clostridia; Lachnospirales; Lachnospiraceae.
ACGGGAGGCAGCAGUGGGGAAUAUUGCACAAUGGGGGAAACCCUGAUGCAGCGACGCCGCGUGAGUGAAGAAGUAUUUCGGUAUGUAAAGCUCUAUCAGCAGGAAAGAAAAUGACGGUACCUGACUAAGAAGCCCCGGCUAACUACGUGCCAGCAGCCGCGGUAAUACGUAGGGGGCAAGCGUUAUCCGGAUUUACUGGGUGUAAAGGGAGCGUAGACGGUAAGGCAAGUCUGAAGUGAAAUGCCAGGGCUCAGCCCUGGAACUGCUUUGGAAACUGUCCUACUAGAGUGCAGGAGAGGUAAGUGGAAUUCCUAGUGUAGCGGUGAAAUGCGUAGAUAUUAGGAGGAACACCAGUGGCGAAGGCGGCUUACUGGACUGUAACUGACGUUGAGGCUCGAAAGCGUGGGGAGCAAACAGGAUUAGAUACCCUGGUA